This 415-nucleotide ribosomal RNA is filed under the name uncultured bacterium. Its description in RNAcentral is "bacterial SSU rRNA". It matches the Rfam family "Bacterial small subunit ribosomal RNA", at positions 107 to 518 of the family's 1533-position model. The record is from RNAcentral.
UGCGUAACAGGUGUGCAAGUCUGUCCGUAAAUCGGGGGAUAGCCCGCCGAAAGGCGGAUUAAAACUCCAGUGUGAGAUGAUACCGCAUGGUAUUAUUUUGAAACGAAAGGAUUACGGGUGAGCACGCUUCGUGAUUAGCUAGUUGGUGGGGUAACGGCUCACCAAGGCGACGAUCAGUAGGGGUUCUGAGAGGAAGGUCCCCCACAUUGGAACUGAGACACGGUCCAAACUCCUACGGGAGGCAGCAGUGAGGAAUAUUGGUCAAUGGGCGGAAGCCUGAACCAGCCAAGUCGCGUGAAGGAAUGAAGGUUCUAUGGAUUGUAAACUUCUUUUAUUCGAGGGUAAAGUGUGGUACGUGUACCAUAUUGCAAGUAUCGAAUGAAUAAGCAUCGGCUAACUCCGUGCCAGCCGCUGC